GAUGAACGCUGGCGGCGUGCUUAACACAUGCAAGUCGAACGGAGAUAUCAUUUUCGAAGCGAUUAGUUUACUAAGAGCGGAGAUGUUGCUAUCUUAGUGGCGGACGGGUGAGUAACGCGUGGGUAACCUGCCUUACACUGGGGGAUAACACUUAGAAAUAGGUGCUAAUACCGCAUAACAGGAGAAGAUGCAUGUCUUUUCCUUAAAAACUCCGGUGGUGUAAGAUGGACCCGCGUCUGAUUAGCUUGUUGGCGGGGUAACGGCCCACCAAGGCAGCGAUCAGUAGCCGGCCUGAGAGGGUGAACGGCCACAUUGGGACUGAGACACGGCCCAA
RNAcentral lists this ribosomal RNA (334 nucleotides) under uncultured bacterium. RNAcentral's name for it is "bacterial SSU rRNA". It matches the Rfam family "Bacterial small subunit ribosomal RNA", at positions 28 to 334 of the family's 1533-position model. The record is from RNAcentral.